CAUUGUCUCAUCUCUAAUUCCUCCUAAUUCUAAAUAUCCAAUUAUUCUUCCCCAUAAAUAUUUCCGUUCCAAUUUCAAAGAGUCAUCCUUCUCGCACUCCUCUUCUUCCACAACAUCAGAAACAACUAGUGCUUCAGCUAUUUAUUCGAAUCUCGAGGUUUCAUUCAAAACAGGGAGGUUUCUGAGCAAUGAAGAGCUUGAAAAGCUUCAAACCUUCAGAAUUUUAGAUAUUAUUAAGAACUGGAAACUGGGUCGAUGUGGGUUCGGGUGAUGAGGCCUGAGGUGAUGGAUAUCACCCUGUGGGGUAUGUGUCUUUGUUACUUGAUUGAUAGCAGAUCUGUAAUGCCACAUGCUGUUACACUUGUUGGGUUUUAUAGAGGGAAACAUGAGGGUGAUGGAGAUGGGGAAGAGGAGGAGGAGGAGCUGCCAGGGGCCGUGGAGGUUUGUUUUGAUAAGAAGGGUGCUAAUGCUUCUCCUCCUACACCAACUCCUCCCAAGAAUUAUCCUUACAUUUGCAACAUGACUGUUAAGGAGCCACUUCGUUAGUAUGUCUUGUUUAUUGCUUUUCUUGUCUUGGCUAAUUGCACAUUUCUAGUUGACAUCAUGAACUGCUUUGCAAGAAUUAAGCAUUUCUUUUUACCAAAGUGGUGAAUAACGAGUCAUUCUAUUUCCAAUGGAAAUGAUUAAUUUUUAGCUCUCAGUCCUGGUAGAAAGGAUAACGAUCUAUGAAAGUGCGAAUAAAUCAAAAUAUGAAAAAUAAUCACUUAAGGAGGUUGAUUAAGUAUUCAUCCAAGUAGUUGAUAUAUUGUAGGGUAUCAAGAAUUUAGAAGAUUUUAGGAUAGUCGUUCAAAAUUCUAACUUACACUAGCAGUCGAGCGCUGAUGCUAAGAUUUGGUUAUCUACCUUAUUAAUUUCGGUUCUUGAGUCCUAUUGAAAGUAAAACGGCAAAAAUGUAAGAUCAAAUAACUAUACAAAUAAUGAAUCUAACUGACAUAUUCUUUAUGGAGAGAAUUGUAGUAAGAGCUCAAUAUGAUUAAAUGAUAAUUUUAUGAUUAUAGAGAACUUGUGGUUCACCAUUGACAGCCCUUAUGGCAACAUGUUAUGCACUUGAUGAUGUUGCCAUGAUCUACCCAUCACCAUCAUUCAGCAUCAUUAAUUUUAUGUUCUCUAUUAUUAUUUAACUUUCUACACCAUGACUCUUAAGAUACCAUACCAGCUUUGGAACUUGAAGCAUUUCUGUACAAUGUAUUGAACUAGACUAGAUUUCUGAGCGUAUAUCUGAGGAACUUCAAAGGGAGGCAUUGGUUGGAGUCUUCUGAAGGCAAGUGAGCAAUUAAUUUAUCAGAUGAGUUGCUUAAGAGAGGUGUAUUUGCAUUGCAGAAUGAUUGAUUCGGCCCCCUUUAAUAUGUAUACAAAAGCAGGCUACAACGUUGUUAAGACAGAUAGUAUAUUGGUCAUGUUAAUGUUGCAGAGACGCAAACAUUUGAUGUGCAAGAAACUUCCAGUCUUAAAGAAUCCUUCAGAACUUGAUUUCUUGGAUUGUGACAUGGAACUCUGUUCAAAAUUGGAUACACAGAUGCCAUGAUAUAUGUUUCUAAGGUCCAAGUUCUUCAGGAUAUUGUCGGACUGGGUUUUGGUGAUCAUCCAAUCAGGUUGAUUAUGCUAGGAAGUCGAUCUGAUUAGGUGAUGUCUUCUUGCUAGUAAUUUUUUGUAAUUAUGGUACAAACCUGUUGUGCCACAGAUAAUUUGACCAGGCAUCUCCUUUUUCUUGCAAGCAAUUUACACUCAAAAGUCAAAACUUUAUAGAAUAUUUGUAUAUUAUUUGAAAAUAAAAAGAGUAAGAGCUUGGAUGGAGAUGAGAAACAAAGUAAAGAGGAAAAGAACAAUAGUGCCUCUAGAGAUGGUUCCAAAAACUCAUUGAGAGAAGAUCUAGCUUUUAUUGCAAAAGGCAGGUUUCUUGUUUUAGAGCAGCAUGUGAUAUUCAUAUAGAAGUCUUUAAUAAGUGGGGAAAAAAAAUCUGAACUAAGAUGUUGAUGCUACACUAGCGAUACAUACAAGUGAAUGUUUCCUUCUGGAUGUGGUCCUCUUAAUUUCUAUUUUUAAGGUUCAAGCUCGUAGCUGAAAAAUCCUCCUCCUAGAUCUUCAUUUUAUUUCUUGUAUCACUAACAAUUACUAGAUUUCUUUCUUACUAUGCAUCCGUCUCUGUUGUAUUUUUUAAAAUCCUAGGUGCCACAGCUUCCAAGUCAGUAACCAAAUGAAAGAAAAUAAAGAACCUUUACCACUGAUGUAAACAGUUUGUCUGCUGAUAAUACGUCAGGGGCUAUUUGACCAUUUUGAAUGUACGCAAUGGUGUGCCCAAGGCUAUUGAAUUUGUAUAGAUUAUCAUUUGGAGUUCUUUUGCGCAUUCAGUCAUGGAGGGUCUCUCGCUGCUCUCAAUACGGACACAACGUGAUGCCAGGGCCAUUAUUGGUGUUUUUGGAUGUUGCUGUAAAUGAAAAUGCAUUGUUAGAAGAUACCUCUCCUGACCGCAGAGUGCCCCGAUAAACUCGGCCAAAUCCUCCUUUUCCAAGCAUUUGUUCAUCACUAAAAGAGCAAGUUGCUUCUUCCAUUUCCUUGAGUGUGAAAACUGAAGAUCCAUGCUGUCGUUUUGUUGCCUGGGGAGUUUGAUCCUUGAGUUGCCAAAACUCUACAGGUUUAUAAACCCCUGGAAAUAAGGUAGGCGCACAUUCAAACUAUGAAACUACUUAUGGAAAAAAUAGGUUGAAAGAACAUGGUGAGGAACUUAUUUUUAUGCUAUCAAAUGAAGAAAUAGAAGAAGAAUGUACAGGGAUCUGUGUGAUCUUGGGACUUGCUUCUCCGGCGCUUGUUCCACGAGGAGACCAACCCAAAAGGCAUAAUGUUUCUUCCUUGUAUGGAAUUAACCUCUGUUUUCAGGAUUUAAAUAAAUUGAAUUAUCUGGAACAGACAACUGGAUAGAGAUAUUUCAUGGAAACCCUGGGAGUAAGAGAUGUUUCUUGACUCAACUGAUCACUCGGCAGAAAUCAGUGCAGAUUAGGCUAAGCUCUAGAGUUUUUGGCUGAAGAAAAAUAUUGUGAAAAUAGAAAAGAUUAUGAAGUAUAGUCUGCAAAAAAGAGAAGAGCUGAUACUAAGAGAAUGAUCUGAUGAGUACGCAUUGAGCAAACUAGGUAAGGUAGAUGAGGAGAAUACUCAACUACAUCUUUCAACAACCUGAAAAUUGAAGAGGUGAGGAGAGAUUUACUUGAAGAAAAAGGAAAAGCAAUGAAGGGAGAAAGUUGGUAUUGGUUGCUUACCUUUGGGUGAUGUAGUGGAAAGUUGGUGGUGGAACAUUUUGCUUGAUGAAGAAAUACAAUCUGUUGCACCUCAGCCUCUUCCUUUCCCUCCAUUUUCGUUUGAUUUUUGUUUUUAACUUUUUGUGAAGAUAGAGGUGGCCGUUGAGAGGUUGUUUUCAUUCGUUUCUCUAAUUUUUAAUUAAUUUAUUCAUUAUCAUC
Molecule: RNA transcript, 3509 nt
Organism: Hevea brasiliensis (rubber tree)
Lineage: Eukaryota; Viridiplantae; Streptophyta; Magnoliopsida; Malpighiales; Euphorbiaceae
Gene name: GCN5-related N-acetyltransferase 5, chloroplastic-like
Exons: 3
Source: RefSeq, a predicted model, not a curated record